AAAUUGAAGAGUUUGAUCAUGGCUCAGAUUGAACGCUGGCGGCAGGCCUAACACAUGCAAGUCGAACGGUAACAGGAAGCAGCUUGCUGCUUCGCUGACGAGUGGCGGACGGGUGAGUAAUGUCUGGGAAACUGCCUGAUGGAGGGGGAUAACUACUGGAAACGGUGGCUAAUACCGCAUAACGUCGCAAGACCAAAGAGGGGGACCUUCGGGCCUCUUGCCAUCAGAUGUGCCCAGAUGGGAUUAGCUUGUUGGUGAGGUAACGGCUCACCAAGGCGACGAUCCCUAGCUGGUCUGAGAGGAUGACCAGCCACACUGGAACUGAGACACGGUCCAGACUCCUACGGGAGGCAGCAGUGGGGAAUAUUGCACAAUGGGCGCAAGCCUGAUGCAGCCAUGCCGCGUGUAUGAAGAAGGCCUUCGGGUUGUAAAGUACUUUCAGCGGGGAGGAAGGUGUUGUGGUUAAUAACCGCAGCAAUUGACGUUACCCGCAGAAGAAGCACCGGCUAACUCCGUGCCAGCAGCCGCGGUAAUACGGAGGGUGCAAGCGUUAAUCGGAAUUACUGGGCGUAAAGCGCACGCAGGCGGUCUGUCAAGUCGGAUGUGAAAUCCCCGGGCUCAACCUGGGAACUGCAUUCGAAACUGGCAGGCUUGAGUCUUGUAGAGGGGGGUAGAAUUCCAGGUGUAGCGGUGAAAUGCGUAGAGAUCUGGAGGAAUACCGGUGGCGAAGGCGGCCCCCUGGACAAAGACUGACGCUCAGGUGCGAAAGCGUGGGGAGCAAACAGGAUUAGAUACCCUGGUAGUCCACGCCGUAAACGAUGUCUACUUGGAGGUUGUGCCCUUGAGGCGUGGCUUCCGGAGCUAACGCGUUAAGUAGACCGCCUGGGGAGUACGGCCGCAAGGUUAAAACUCAAAUGAAUUGACGGGGGCCCGCACAAGCGGUGGAGCAUGUGGUUUAAUUCGAUGCAACGCGAAGAACCUUACCUGGUCUUGACAUCCACGGAAGAAUCCAGAGAUGGAUUUGUGCCUUCGGGAACCGUGAGACAGGUGCUGCAUGGCUGUCGUCAGCUCGUGUUGUGAAAUGUUGGGUUAAGUCCCGCAACGAGCGCAACCCUUAUCCUUUGUUGCCAGCGGUCCGGCCGGGAACUCAAAGGAGACUGCCAGUGAUAAACUGGAGGAAGGUGGGGAUGACGUCAAGUCAUCAUGGCCCUUACGACCAGGGCUACACACGUGCUACAAUGGCGCAUACAAAGAGAAGCGACCUCGCGAGAGCAAGCGGACCUCAUAAAGUGCGUCGUAGUCCGGAUUGGAGUCUGCAACUCGACUCCAUGAAGUCGGAAUCGCUAGUAAUCGUGGAUCAGAAUGCCACGGUGAAUACGUUCCCGGGCCUUGUACACACCGCCCGUCACACCAUGGGAGUGGGUUGCAAAAGAAGUAGGUAGCUUAACCUUCGGGAGGGCGCUUACCACUUUGUGAUUCAUGACUGGGGUGAAGUCGUAACAAGGUAACCGUAGGGGAACCUGCGGUUGGAUCACCUCCUUACCUUAAAGAAGC
Molecule: ribosomal RNA, 1554 nt
Filed under: Salmonella enterica subsp. enterica serovar Anatum
Lineage: Bacteria; Pseudomonadati; Pseudomonadota; Gammaproteobacteria; Enterobacterales; Enterobacteriaceae
Description: bacterial SSU rRNA
Rfam family: Bacterial small subunit ribosomal RNA
Source: RNAcentral